GGGGAUGUGGUCUAGUGGUAUGACGUUUCCUUAGCAUGUGAAAGCAUGGAAAAGGUUCUGGGUUCGAUUCCCAGCCUCUCCA
Molecule: non-coding RNA, 82 nt
Organism: Truncatella angustata
Lineage: Eukaryota; Fungi; Ascomycota; Sordariomycetes; Amphisphaeriales; Sporocadaceae
Source: the annotation of a RefSeq genome assembly